Molecule: ribosomal RNA, 372 nt
Filed under: uncultured organism
Description: bacterial SSU rRNA
Rfam family: Bacterial small subunit ribosomal RNA
Source: RNAcentral
CGGGGGGGGCAAGCGUUGUUCGGAAUUACUGGGCGUAAAGGGCGCGUAGGCGGUUCGCUAAGUUGGAUGUGAAAACUCUGGGCUCAACCCAAAGCCUGCAUCCAAAACUGGCGGGCUAGAGUUCUGGAGGGGGUAGCGGAAUUCCUGGUGUAGCGGUGAAAUGCGUAGAUAUCAGGAGGAACACCGGUGGCGAAGGCGGCUACCUGGACAGAAACUGACGCUGAGGCGCGAAAGCUAGGGGAGCAAACAGGAUUAGAUACCCUGGUAGUCCUAGCCCUAAACGAUGGAUACUUGGUGUGACGGGGAUUGAAUCCCGUCGUGCCGAAGCUAACGCAUUAAGUAUCCCGCCUGGGGAGUACGGUCGCAAGGCUG